RNAcentral lists this long non-coding RNA (354 nucleotides) under Rattus norvegicus (Norway rat). RNAcentral's name for it is "long non-coding RNA NONRATT012744". Lineage: Eukaryota; Metazoa; Chordata; Mammalia; Rodentia; Muridae. The record is from RNAcentral.
UGGGCACAGUCCUGCUUGCGAGAAUCAGAGUUUGACAGCAACGUUUCCCCCACAGAGGCAUCAAUUGAAGAUUGCUUCUUGCUAUGUGCGAUUGACAGGACCCGGUGGCCACUUCCUCGUCUCAGCACUGGGACCCCAUCUGGCUUGGACUGGCGUAGGUCCUGGGCAUGAUGUCACAGAGUCUGUGAGUUCAUAUGUGUGUCAGACCUGGGCUGUCUGGAAGACACUGUUUCCAUGGAGUCAUCCAUCACCUCUGGGUCUUACAGCCUUCCUCUUCCUCUUCUUCUUCCUCUUCCCCAUAGACCUGAGCCCUGAGGGAAAGGAUCUAAUAAAGACAUCCCGUUUAGAACUGAA